GAUGAACGCUGGCGGCGUGCCUAAUACAUGCAAGUCGAGCGAACGGACGAGAAGCUUGCUUUUCUGAUGUUAGCGGCGGACGGGUGAGUAACACGUGGAUAACCUACCUAUAACACUGGGAUAACUUCGGGAAACCGGAGCUAAUACCGGAUAAUAUUUUGAACCGCAUUGUUCAAAAGUGAAAGACGGUCUUGCUGUCACUUAUAGAUGGAUCCGCGCUGCAUUAGCUAGUUGGUAAGGUAACGGCUUACCAAGGCAACGAUGCAUAGCCGACCUGAGAGGGUGAUCGGCCACACUGGAACUGAGACACGGUCCAGACUCCUACGGGAGGCAGCAGUAGGGAAUCUUCCGCAAUGGGCGAAAGCCUGACGGAGCAACGCCGCGUGAGUGAUGAAGGUCUUCGGAUCGUAAAACUCUGUUAUUAGGGAAGAACAUAUGUGUAAGUAACUGUGCACAUCUUGACGGUACCUAAUCAGAAAGCCACGGCUAACUACGUG
RNAcentral lists this ribosomal RNA (497 nucleotides) under uncultured bacterium. Its description in RNAcentral is "partial 16S ribosomal RNA". It matches the Rfam family "Bacterial small subunit ribosomal RNA", at positions 28 to 507 of the family's 1533-position model. The record is from RNAcentral.